This 172-nucleotide non-coding RNA is filed under the name unclassified sequences. RNAcentral describes it as "Clostridiales-1 RNA". It matches the Rfam family "Clostridiales-1 RNA". RNAcentral also lists the same sequence under 1 other name. The record is from RNAcentral.
AGAUAUCAGGGUCAAAAGGUCUAAAAUCCGACGAGGGCUUGCUUGAAGGAGGAUUUUUGAACUUGGGACCCGCCAAAAACAUGAGUAAGGAGCCAUUUUUUGAAGAAAAAUGAGCGGAUUACGAAUGUUUUUAGAAUUGCGGGAGUGCAAAGCACGUAGCAAUUCGGUAUCA